This 241-nucleotide long non-coding RNA is filed under the name Neodiprion pinetum (white pine sawfly). Its description in RNAcentral is "uncharacterized LOC124212938". Lineage: Eukaryota; Metazoa; Arthropoda; Insecta; Hymenoptera; Diprionidae. The record is from RNAcentral.
ACGUAGUGUGUUUCGGUUUUUGUCUUUAUUGCCGUUUUGUUCUAUUUAUUCAUCAUUUACCAUCACGCAUUUAUGUAAUUGGAAGUGUCAUCUCAUAUGAGAUAUCUAAAUAAAAUUGUUCUGAGGAGGGCCCCCACCAGGGCCGAAACGUUAACACGAUAAAAAGUGUUUUGAGUUGCGACCUUCAUAUCCAAGAAUAACUUUAAUCAACAAAUCUCCAAGGUCAAGAUAAAUCAUCUUC